UAGGGAAUCUUCCACAAUGGGCGCAAGCCUGAUGGAGCAACACCGCGUGAGUGAAGAAGGGUUUCGGCUCGUAAAGCUCUGUUGUUAAAGAAGAACACGUAUGAGAGUAACUGUUCAUACGUUGACGGUAUUUAACCAGAAAGUCACGGCUAACUACGUGCCAGCAGCCGCGGUAAUACGUAGGUGGCAAGCGUUAUCCGGAUUUAUUGGGCGUAAAGAGAGUGCAGGCGGUUUUCUAAGUCUGAUGUGAAAGCCUUCGGCUUAACCGGAGAAGUGCAUCGGAAACUGGAUAACUUGAGUGCAGAAGAGGGUAGUGGAACUCCAUGUGUAGCGGUGGAAUGCGUAGAUAUAUGGAAGAACACCAGUGGCGAAGGCGGCUACCUGGUCUGCAACUGACGCUGAGACUCGAAAGCAUGGGUAGCGAACAGGAUUAGAUACCCUGGUAGUCCAUACCGUAAACGAUGAGUGCUAGGUGUUGGAGGGUUUCCGCCCUUCAGUGCCGGAGCUAACGCAUUAAGCACUCCGCCUGGGGAGUACGACCGCAAGGUUG
This 550-nucleotide ribosomal RNA is filed under the name uncultured bacterium. RNAcentral's name for it is "bacterial SSU rRNA". It matches the Rfam family "Bacterial small subunit ribosomal RNA", at positions 355 to 896 of the family's 1533-position model. The record is from RNAcentral.